GACGGGGGAUGCAAGUGUUAUCCGGAAUCACUGGGCGUAAAGCGUCUGCAGGUGGUUUCCUAAGUCCACUGUUAAACCUUGAGGCUCAACCUCAAAUCUGCAUUGGAAACUAGGAGACUUGAGUAUAGUAGGGGCGGUCGGAACGAUAGGUGGAGCGGUGAAAUGCGUAGAUAUCUAUCGGAACGCCAAAGGUGAAGACAGGCCGCUGGGCUUGUACUGACGCUGAGGAACGAAAGCGUGGGGAGCAAACGGG
RNAcentral lists this ribosomal RNA (253 nucleotides) under uncultured bacterium. RNAcentral describes it as "partial 16S ribosomal RNA". It matches the Rfam family "Bacterial small subunit ribosomal RNA", at positions 524 to 776 of the family's 1533-position model. The record is from RNAcentral.